Molecule: transfer RNA, 72 nt
Filed under: Candidatus Magasanikiibacteriota bacterium
Lineage: Bacteria; Candidatus Magasanikiibacteriota
Description: tRNA-Glu
Rfam family: tRNA
About the family: Transfer RNA (tRNA) molecules are approximately 80 nucleotides in length. Their secondary structure includes four short double-helical elements and three loops (D, anti-codon, and T loops). Further hydrogen bonds mediate the characteristic L-shaped molecular structure. tRNAs have two regions of fundamental functional importance: the anti-codon, which is responsible for specific mRNA codon recognition, and the 3' end, to which the tRNAs corresponding amino acid is attached (by aminoacyl-tRNA synthetases). tRNAs cope with the degeneracy of the genetic code in two manners: having more than one tRNA (with a specific anti-codon) for a particular amino acid; and 'wobble' base-pairing, i.e. permitting non-standard base-pairing at the 3rd anti-codon position.
Source: RNAcentral
GGCCCGUUCGUCUAGUGGUUAGGACUCCAGGUUUUCAUCCUGGCAACAGGGGUUCGAUUCCCCUACGGGCUG